AUGGGUGCUUAUGAAAUUGAAUCUUUGUUUAAAGAUUUUGAAGAUUCAGUUUAUAGACCUGAAAAUUUUGCUAUACUUAAAUAUUGCUAUGUGAGUUAUGAAUUCAAUUCCGAUAUUGAUGAUUUUAUUGAGAGAGUCUUUGCUGUUCAAGAAGAGACUAAUAUUUUGCGGGAGUCUAUGGAAGAAGAAAUUAAUGACAUUGUGAGCUCAUUGGAUGAAAAAAAUGAGGAGGAGAGCGAAGAACAAAAGGAGGAAGAGCGGAUUGAUCACCCGUGCCCACCUUCUAAUGAGAGUAACUCUUCAACUCAUACAUUGUUUAAUUUCUCUUCGUGCUUACCGAAGGAUGAUUGCUAUAAUGAUUGUUAUGAUUCUGUUGAUUCUUUUGAAAUAUUCCUUUUUGAGGAUGCUUGCUAUGCUUGUGGCCAAGAUGCCAAUAUGAAUUAUACUUAUGAAGAUGAACUUGUUAUAGUUCCUUAUAUUAAGAAUGAAAUUGUUGCUAUUGCACCCACGCAUGAUAGUCCUAUUAUCUUUUUGAAUUCUCCCGACUACACUAUAUCGGAGAAGUUUGUCCUUAUUAAGGAUUAUAUUGACGGAUUUUGUUUUACUACUACACAUGAUGAUUUUGACAGAUAUAAUAUGCAUGUGCUUGCUGCUCCUACUUGCAAUUAUUAUGAGAGAGGAACUACAUCUCCGCCUCUCUAUGUUUCCAACAUGAUAAAAUUGCAAGAAACUGUUUAUACUAUGCAUUGGCCUUUAUUGUUCUUCUAUGACAUGCCGAUGCAUAGUAAGAGAGUUAGACUUCGUCAUUGCUUGAUAUAUGUUUCUUUGUGCUCACUACUAAAUGACAAAUCAUUGCUAAUUCAAAUUGGCUUUAAUAUACCUUGGGAUCCAGGUGGAUUCUUUACAUGA
Molecule: ribosomal RNA, 909 nt
Filed under: Triticum aestivum (bread wheat)
Lineage: Eukaryota; Viridiplantae; Streptophyta; Magnoliopsida; Poales; Poaceae
Description: partial small subunit ribosomal RNA
Source: RNAcentral